UUUCAUGCUAAAAGAUGAACACAAUGGCACUCAACCUUUGCACACAUUUGCUGCUCCAAGCCUUUGUCCAUUCCAAUCCCUCUUUCCUUGAACGUCUUCACAUAGCUAACCUCUUCUCAUCCUUAAAGUCUCACCUUAGGCAUCCAUUCCCUCCAGAAGGUAUCCCUUCCACUGGCUCUCUUGGUACCUUUCAGCCAUGACACUGACUUGACCACACUGGAAUUCAGUUUCCAGUCUGUCACCUUCACUUCAACCUAGAAGACGCCCGUGCCCUCAGUGAGUACUCAGUAAGGUCUAGAUGUCCGCCCAAAGCCUCAUGUGGUCAUAGGCAGCUGAAUCAAGACUGUGUGAUGCUGGGAUUGAGGGUGGGUGAUUACUAAAUCAGUCCACUGAUUGGUUUGGCACCACCCUAAUCCCAGUACCUGGAUACAAUAUGAGGGACAGAAAGAGGCUUGACUUCUCCCUUGUUGCUUCUGCUACUGUGUGAGCACCAUGAACUGCCAUCCUCUGCCAUACCACCCUGCCUUGGAGCCAGGACUGAAACCUCUACAAACUGGGACCUAAAUAAACCUUUCCCUCUGUAAUUUGGGGGGUAUUUUGUCUCAACAACAAGAGAAAAGACUUUAUUUUUGCAUGAGAAAUGAGGUAGGGGUCUACCAUGGUUUGGAUAUCAUUCGUCCCCACCAAAACUUGUGUUGAAGUUUGGUUCCUGUGUGGCAGUGUCAGGAGCCCAAUUGCCUUUCCAUUUCUGCCCUGAGUUGAGGCGUCUGGAGGCUCUCUCCACUUGCUGCCACCAGAUCUUGGACUUCCCAGCCUCCAGAAGCGUGAACUAAAAUAAACCUCUUUUCUUUAUAAA
This 856-nucleotide long non-coding RNA is filed under the name Heterocephalus glaber (naked mole-rat). RNAcentral describes it as "lncRNA (ENSHGLG00100044584.1)". The record is from RNAcentral. Lineage: Eukaryota; Metazoa; Chordata; Mammalia; Rodentia; Bathyergidae.